Meleagris gallopavo (turkey) is the source of this 5367-nucleotide non-coding RNA. NCBI's taxonomy places the organism in Eukaryota, Metazoa, Chordata, Aves, Galliformes, Phasianidae. The record is from RefSeq and is a predicted model, not a curated record.
UUUUACAUGUAUGUGGCUACAGAAACACUUGAAGAAGCUGUACGGAUAUUUUAAAUCUAUUUACUCAUUACUCUUUAGUUGUCAGAGAGCAGUGCUCCUGCUUGACCAUUCAUUACAUGAUCCAAGUAAGUUAACAGGAGAGGAAUAAAACCGUUUUUAAGAGGUUUUGACCCACAGUUUUCUUCUGAAGACCUGAAGAGAUGAGUAAAUGUGUUUUCACAAUUUACCAGUGAUUGCAAAGGGUCACUUCUGACUCUCUUUAAAACAGUGACCUUUUUCCUCAUUACCUCUUGGUAUUAUAACUUAGAUUUGUCAUGUAGUUCCUGCUUUCCUGGCGCAGGCAGCAGUGCUUUUCCCUACAAACCUGAAUAUGUUUGAAGAAGAUAGGCAACGAUUCGGUAGGUAGUGUUGGCAGUUCUUAAUGCUGGUAACUAAUUCAAAGAGCUGGCAUCUGCAAGGAAAAUGUGCAAGAGAUCAAUAAUUCAUAACCUUAUAAAUUUUCAAAAGGAGAACAGCAAAAGGAAGGAAUGGGGUUUAUUAUGAAAAACAGCCAGUAAUUGAAAUAAAGAUGUAUUAUAAGAGUGAGUCAUACAGGAAAAGAAGAAACAAAAAGCCAAGUCAAGGAUAAAGAUACAGCUGAAAAAAACCCCAAUAUGUUGAGCUAGGCAACAUACCCAGAGCCUUUAGAGCAAGCCUUUUAACUACUCUAACACAGCCAGCCAAACCUGCUGUCUUUCAGUUUCUCUGCAUAUGAUCGCAUCCUUUGAAGAGCAAGUUACUAGACACUAUUACGUGUGCCAUCCUUCCGCUAUCACACAGCACAGCCAUCAACCUAUCCUACUCCGUAAAUAACUGUCUUCAUUACGUGAACCAUAAAGAAAGCUAUCCCAUGCUUUUCAACAGGGCUAGUAUAUUCUUCCAUGAUAACACAUCGCUGUUGAUCACCUCCGUGCUGCUGCCAUGCCCUCAAUCUCACCAGCACGCAGACAGAGCUGCCUCACUCUGCUUCUGAGAGAAGCAAAACCAAAGCAUCCCAAGUUAUUUCUAACUUGCACCUGAAAGGAAUCAAAAAAGAAUCAAAGGAAUAAAAGAAUAGCUUCUCUGUUUGCUGGGGGAUCAUGAGAUAAAGGAGGCCCUUUUGAAGUUAAUUUCUCUUGAAUAAUCAAGUCAGGAGUAGGUCUUUUUGUGACAUACAAAUGGAUUCUGUUCCCCCUAAUUACUAGGAUGUUGCUUUUUAAGCAUUCAAUGCUUCUGCGUGGGAGUUUCAGAAGCUGUUUUAGAGCUGAGGUACACAGAAGAAUCAGCAGCAGCUUCAAGGGACUUUGUGACACAGACCUGUGGACCAAACUGCUUCUGUUCCAAUAGACCAGGGAUUCCUACACAGGGUACGUUAACACCGCAAUGUGAGCACAUACUGUAACAAGCACAUUUAGAUGGAAGUACGUUUAACCCACAGCAAGUCCAGAGACUUUUUAUACGUAUGGAGCUUUGCAAGAGAGUCCCCCGGUACCUUUAGCAUCCAAGCAGUAGCCCAAAGAUUUGCUGCUAUCAUUCUGUAACCAAGAUGCCUAAAUUGCUGCACAACUGUUGGCAGCGCGUUUGGAACUGGAAAAACUGCAGUUGUUGGGUUUUCAAGUUGGUUAGCACUGACAGUAUUCCCAACCCUGCCACGAUCUCCUGGAAUGGGAUGCAUUCACACAGAAUACUGUUAAAGGAUGUGGGAUUCAUCCACUUCAGGUUUGGCUUGCACCAAGAUUUCAUGCAGUGGAAUGGAUGUGCCUUUCUGAUACACAACUGCUACUGUUCUGUCACUUCAAGGAACAGAACCAGACCAAACUACUGCAAGUGCAGUAAUGCAGUGGCUGAACGGUGAGAAACAGAGGCACAACACUCCUGGUCAGGGAGCAAACAAAUAAUAAAAACCCAUGAUGCACUUGGAUUUGUGUUAAACACAGGAUCGUGACACUUGGGGUACGAAUACCUGAUACAAACUGCUUCAUGGUCUGUCUGGCAGUUGAACAGUGGGGGUCGUAACUGCCUCACUCAUAGCCACAGCAACUCUCCAGGAGUAAUUGUAAACUCGUACCAGAAUCAGGGAGAAAUCUUCCCCCCAGGAAUUGUUCCCAGACACUCUCUGGAAAAUUACUGCUUGGAGCAAGAGCAGCAAAUAUGUAAAUACGACUUGUGUUGGACAUUUCUUUUUCCACCUCAUUGCCCUCAAUAUGCUAAUAAAAAGAAAUGACUUUUCCUGGAGUAUAGGCUCACCCAUUCAUUACUUUAAAAACUGUCAAAAUAAUGUAAAGGGAAAAAAAAAAAAGCAAAACGCACAAAUGUAACAUGAACUGUAAUGAAAGAUUAGUUCCAAGUACAAUCAAUAUCUAAUUAGAGCAGCACAGAAAAGGCAAUACUUCUCAUGCUGUUGACCAGAAGGAUAUUUUUCCUCUACUUACGCUGAGACAUUUCCUUUAACUACGAUUUCAUGCCACACUAAUUUAGAAUGAAGAAAAUUACAAAACAAAUUCUCUUUCACCACGUGGUGGCUGAACUGCAGUGUUGCUAUGAGGUUCAAAAGCAGCAACUUCACUGCUAACUGCAAGGUGAGCUAAUGAAGCAAAUUGAAAAGCAAUUCCUUCCCUUUGUGUACCUACUAAUCUGCUAAAAAACAGUGCAUAUUUAGUACCUGGAAUCACUUGUUUUACUAGAGAACACGAAGCUCGAUUUCUAAUGAAAAGAACCCUGGCACCGCUUACAUUAAGCACAAAUUGAACUGUCUGCUCAUGUGAUCUAAUCACCAUGGUACCCAAAUGCUUUAUAGAUAACGAUAAAAACACAAGCCUUCAUUCUAAGAGCAUGUGAUCUGCCAAGGUAAAUUUACACAGGGAUGAGCUCAAAGAGAGCUGUAAUUCCAAGCGCAGGUCUAAACCCGGGCCGGGUAAGAUCACCAGUAUGAGGGAAUUCGCACACAAGUCAGAAAGGUUUGUUAUUUCUUCAAAAUAACCUUUGAUAAUCAUGAACUCUGAUGGUAGCUGCAUAAGAGACGUAUCUUAAGGCAGGUACAACAGCCAAGCAGGUUUAGAAGAUGGACUGAGGCAAGGAAUGUUUCCUGGAUCAAGUUGUCCAGCCUACAAACCAAGCGCGGAGAGAGGCAAUGACUGCUAUGCCAGCACCUGGGGGUACUGCAGUUAAGAUUUUAGGCAGGUUUCAUUAACAAAUAAGGAGACUCAAAUAACUCAAGAAUUAGAUUUUUCCUACGUUUCUUCUAUGUUUCUGAGGGAUUACGAUAUACUUGGUUCACAAAAUCGAUUUCCAUUUUGUAAUAUAAGAAAACAAACUAGGAAGAAAGAUUGAUUGAUUCUUAAUGCAAACCCUGGUUUCCUGGAGCUGAGCUUUCAAGUAAAACGUCAAACAGUACGGUCGCAUAGCAACCUCCCUGCCCUGAGUACAGGAGGACCGGUCGGCCAGUUCCACCUUUCCUGUUUCUCCAGGCUGCACAAACACAGCACUUGACUAAGAAAUAAUUACUGCAGCCCACACUGUGUUUUUAAAAGGCUUUGCAACCAGCAUAAACAUACACCAGAAAACAACUGUGGCUGUACGUAGAUGAAAGUGCACGACACCAAUUGCAGAAGUUCCCUCCCUGCUCUCCGACUUCCAAGGUGCACAGGAACACUCAGAGCCCGCUGUGCCCGAACUGACUGCACACACUCAGAGCUGUCGGGAUGUGGAGGACCCACAGCACCCGCAUUCUAAAUGGUACAUCCAGAAAUGUCUGCCUACACAUCUUCAGGAAAAAACCUAACCUGCCUCUGAGGAUAGCCAGCUGUUGGCUUAAACAACCUUCAGAGCUAUUUUCACUACCUAAACUUCCAGCAUUGAAACAGUUUUAAAAGCCAGCUCCAGCUUUCAGUUCUCUACAGCGUAUCUCCCAAAGAAUCCACCAGGCAACUUAAAUCCCUGGUGAUCAACGCCAGCACUGAUCCACAGCAGCAAGCGGUGGUACAGAAGGAGAACAAGACCUGGAAAAGAUCACUAGAAGGAAAAAAAAUAGUAAAAAACUUGCUCAACCUAAAUGGGGAUUAUUUGUGCUUAGCUUGGAAAGCUGAAAAGCUGCUUACAAAAAACUAAGUAGGCAAUAUUGUGUUAAAUAAACGCUAGCCAAUUCGAGCAAACUAAUUCACAUUGGGAAACUGGAGUUCAAUCCAUCAUUUUAACAACUUAUUACACUACCUAAGUGCAGAACUGCAACUAUGCAGUUUGCUACGACUGUUCUGUACUACGCACCCUCAUCAUUCACUAAUCCAUUCAUCUUGGUUUUCUGCUUAUUACUCAUUUCCUAAAUUUGUUUCUCCCCCUCAAGCUAAUUUUAAAACCUCUACUCUACCCAGAAGAAACUUCAACCACAUUUCACCGACAUCAUUUACCACUGCAUGUCAUCAAUUCCCUUCUUUUUACUUGCAAAGCAGUCUACGAACGUGAUGUCUGACUCCCUGGCUAUCAGGAGACGUGCAGCUCCAUGAGGUGACACAAGCCAUGUUUCCAUGUCUGUAACCCAGACUCUUUUAAUGACACACGACCCCUUCCUCAUGGUGAAUCUCUAUCUGGAGGAUAAGCACCAGCAUCUCUGACUGGCAGAAAAAAGAAGAGAAAAAGAAGAACAAGAAUGAAGCAAGACAAACUACUAACAAUAAAAGACAACUAUCUUUGGCAAUGCAAAACCAGCAACAGAUCCCACAUCUUUUUAACGUAUUUAUCUCUUCCUUACUCGAAACUAAACAGUGCCUGUGCUGGAAUAAGUCUAACAUAAUGGACAUGGUUUGCUAAUCCAGCCUCUUAAUUCAGCACCUUUAUCUCAUCCAUUGGCAUCAUGGCUCUCUGUAGCGCAGUGCUGAACCUGUCACAGAGAACAGGGAGAGAAAAUUAGCAGAAAGACAUCUCAGAGAAUAUUACUCAGGCAGACUCAGUGCCACAGCUCCUACCAAUCACAUACUGACACAAAUGGUCUCACACACACUCCUGAUAGUUGAAAGGCACUUAUGGGCCCGUUUUAAGCUGAGCCCUGUUACAUUCUCAUCACUACCCAUAUCCCCAUGGUUGCUUCCUUCUCUCUUCAGUACAAACUCCAACAGCUCCAGAGCAGAGUGCAAGAAAAACCUCGCAAAGCUUGGGUUCUACUUCCUUCCUCAUCUUUGCAGUUGAUGCUACCAAUUAGAGGGACACACCUCACUCUAGAACAGUGGAUGUCAACGGGGAACAGAACCAGUUUGACAGAAACAUGACAUUUAUUCUUAAUCACAGCCUAUGGAAAUAGAUGUUUAGACUAUCAUCUUUAGUUCAGAGAAUCCCCGUGGUGCUGUCAAUUAGGAAAGC